UACAGAGGGUGCGAGCGUUAAUCGGAAUUACUGGGCGUAAAGCGAGUGUAGGUGGCUCAUUAAGUCACAUGUGAAAUCCCCGGGCUUAACCUGGGAACUGCAUGUGAUACUGGUGGUGCUAGAAUAUGUGAGAGGGAAGUAGAAUUCCAGGUGUAGCGGUGAAAUGCGUAGAGAUCUGGAGGAAUACCGAUGGCGAAGGCAGCUUCCUGGCAUAAUAUUGACACUGAGAUUCGAAAGCGUGGGUAGCAAACAGGAUUAGAUACCCCGGUAGUCC
This 274-nucleotide ribosomal RNA is filed under the name uncultured bacterium. RNAcentral describes it as "partial 16S ribosomal RNA". It matches the Rfam family "Bacterial small subunit ribosomal RNA", at positions 524 to 796 of the family's 1533-position model. The record is from RNAcentral.